This 1221-nucleotide ribosomal RNA is filed under the name Triticum aestivum (bread wheat). Its description in RNAcentral is "partial small subunit ribosomal RNA". The record is from RNAcentral. Lineage: Eukaryota; Viridiplantae; Streptophyta; Magnoliopsida; Poales; Poaceae.
GGGGUGGGGGUGGCGGUGGCAGCUGCUGGGAGUGGCAUCUGUUCUAGCUCGGGUACGGGUCUAAGUACUCACCUCGGGGCGCUUCGACGGGCGUUUGACGAGGAGAAGGGGUAGGGGCUAAGGAGAGGUUAGAGGUGGCGGCGGCUAGGGGUGGGGGGUGGCCGCUGUAGCAGAGGGGCAGGGGCCGGGGUAGGGGUGGAGGCCGGCUGGAGGGAGGAGUAGAGCAGGUAGGUUGGUACCUUUGGAGGAAAAGGUGCCUAGGUGGGUGGGAGGGUGCAGGUGGGUACCUACCUACCUACCUACCCCGCGUGGUCAAGGCCGCUGCCGCCGCGGCCUAGGCGUGGGUGGACGCGCUACCUCCGGCCGGCGUAGCCCUAGGUGGCGGACGAGAGCCAGACCACGCCGUGUGGCCUGGUGUGGACUCUAACGAUGACGCCACCGGCAGCUGCUGCCGCGUAGAGGCCGCCCUGGAUCUACGGGUUCCGUACGUAGGCACCAACCACUGGAGCACACGGCGGUAACGGUCUCCGACCGACCGACCUAGCUGCCUGCAGGCGCCACGACCACAAACGUCGGAAUGUAGUGUCUAAGGACGUCAAGGUCCGACUAACCACUCUAAUGUCAAUAUUCCCACCUAGCUAAUCGUAUGAGACGGAUGACUUACGCAGGUGUAUUUGACGGUCCAAUAUAUUCGAGCACGCCUACCCUCCACCUACGGGCGUGCCUAGGCCGCAGAGGCUGGAGCCGUAGGUGUUCCUCCUCGCCGCUGUCAAUGUAUGGGUUGGUACCCCGUCGUCGUUAAGUACUAAUCGGUUCACAAGCAGCUAGACGUUCGGCCAAAUUCUCGACCUAACCGGCCAGGUUAAGUUGUGCCUCGACUAACAUACAACUUUGAAAAGCAGGUAGUUCUCAGCGGAGCGGCGGAGGCCGGCGGGGCUGCUGCGGGAGCGGAAACGGUUAGAGGUGAGGAGGUACUCCACUAAACAAAGAACCUUAAACCUUCUCCUUCCGCUACUUCGCACCAACAAUAGAUAGUUAUACGGAACACAAGACCAACAUGAAGUAUCGAUCAAUGUAACAUAAUACACGACCAGACCAACAUACUUGUGAUACAUUUCUAACAUUAUCCGAUUAAAACCAAUAGUAAAGUUCAUAUAUCAAGACAAAGUAAACUUUAUAAACAGUAGACACAUGACACUUUUACACUCUUUAUCUUUCGAC